Molecule: unclassified non-coding RNA, 979 nt
Filed under: Hevea brasiliensis (rubber tree)
Lineage: Eukaryota; Viridiplantae; Streptophyta; Magnoliopsida; Malpighiales; Euphorbiaceae
Source: RNAcentral
UGAGUGGUACCAAAGAAAAGUAAUUCCAUCUUUCAGAGCUCUUGGGGCAGUUGGCUGCUCUUCAGUCCACAUGAUCAUGAAAACGGAUAAUUUUGUUGAUAAAAGUUCUAAUUUUCUCCCCCGCCGAUAAAUGACAACAGAGGAUAUGCCAAAGCAAGUAAACCCAAUGGAAAAGUGAACUAAAAACGUCGGCCAGAAAUUUUUGUGGUCUAGAAAUACUCUCUCAGAAAUGAGAGUAGUUGCACCAGAAAACAACAGAACUGUCCAACCUGAAGGCAAGCAGCCGCGGAAAGUAAAUGCAGAAGAGUCCUUGAAAUAAUGCUUGAUGAAUACUGCAGAGUAUAUAAUCCUCAAAAUCAUAUUUAAUGAAUUCGCCAGAAUCAAGCCAACUGAACCAGCUGACCGUAUCAGUAGGACAUUCAGCACUACAUAUAGCAGUGAGAAAACAAGCAAUGAAUCGUUUGAACGUUUGAGUUGGCUCUCUGUUGCAACAGCGUGUAGAAAUGCUUCAGAAGUUCCAUUCAUAGCCAAAACAAUGAUAUAAAGGCAAUAAUACCGAAGAGCUGUUGAUGCUUCCCCAUCACUCCAUUUAUGGCCAUACAAUAAUCUGAUUAGACAGUAAGAGUAACUUGGGCCAAAUGCCAUGAACACAAGACCAAUUAACAAAACAAGCUUCAGGGCCUCAGUAAGGUAGCUUGCCAGCUUCCUGCUUUUGUGUGGAUCUUCUCCUGAUGAGGACCUAGCAAAUGUAGCAUAUGAACUUUCCUCAAAUGGCAGAAACACCAACCUCACUACUAAGCUUCCUAAUUUGUCAACAAGUCCAUAUAUAGCCUGGUUAUAUGGGCUAUCCAACCACACAAGGACCAUCUUUUCCCCUUCCUGAAGGAUUAGCUUUCGAAAGGAUUGAAGAGUAAACAGCAUACACAUGUUUGCGAGUUGUUUAUCAUAAUCCAUUUUCGUUUCUAGGCUGUGAAAGAAC